RNAcentral lists this ribosomal RNA (468 nucleotides) under uncultured archaeon. Its description in RNAcentral is "bacterial SSU rRNA". It matches the Rfam family "Archaeal small subunit ribosomal RNA", at positions 1 to 471 of the family's 1478-position model. The record is from RNAcentral.
UUUUCCGGUUGAUCCUGCCGGAGGACAUUGCUAUUGGGAUUCGAUUUAGCCAUGCUAGUCGGACGAGUUUAGACUCGUGGCGCAUAGCUCAGUAACACGUGGCCAAGCUACCCUUCAGUCGGCAAUACCCUCGGGAAACUGAGGUUAACGGCCGAUGUGGGACGCCUGCUGGAAUGCGGCGUUCUCUAAAGGCGACGCUGAAGGAUGCGGCUGCGGCCGAUUAGGUUGACGGUGGGGUAACGGCCCACCGUGCCAGUAAUCGGUACGGGUGAUGAGAGUCAGAGCCCGGAGACGGAAUCUGAGACAAGAUUCCGGGCCCUACGGGGCGCAGCAGGCGCGAAACCUUUACACUGCACGGAAGUGCGAUAGGGGAAUCCCAAGUGCGAGGGCAUAUUCGCCCUCGCUUUUGUUGACCGUAAGGUGGUCAACGAAUAAGAGCUGGGCAAGACCGGUGCCAGCCGCCGCGGU